UGCUCGUCAGUUUUGUGGAUUGGUGUGCGAAAUCAGGCGUCCGCGAAGGACAUCGCAGAGUACAUCAACAAGGAGGGAAGAAGCAAGUUGUUAUUUCAUGGCAACCUCAAGUUAUAGCAGCAUCGACAAUACAAGAUUUGAACCUAUAACAUGUAGGGACUGCGGACGAAGAACAUUUAUGUGUGUUUCUAGAUCAACCAAGAAUCCUGGAAGACAUUAUUACAGAUGUGAGCAACAUGGAUGGCAAAAGUGGGUGACGACCGAUACUAGGUCAUCGGCCAAAAUUGAAAGUGAGCACAAUGCAUUUCAUGGUCAUUAUCCGGGAAUAAUCAAUGUACCGAAAUUUAUUUGGAUAUUAGUGAUGGUGAACUUGAUUCUCUUAGCCGUAAUCCUUAUUGGAUUGUUAGUUCAUAUGGCAAGUUAGUAUUAAAUAGUAUUGUGUUGUAAUGUAACUACCUAAAUAUUUGUAAUUCUGGACACAAAUUUCGUUUGUUAGUUUAUAUCGUUAACUACUUUUGAAUCUUGAAUUA
Long non-coding RNA from Zingiber officinale, 530 nucleotides. RefSeq lists it as uncharacterized. NCBI's taxonomy places the organism in Eukaryota, Viridiplantae, Streptophyta, Magnoliopsida, Zingiberales, Zingiberaceae. The record is from RefSeq and is a predicted model, not a curated record. The transcript has 2 exons.